CUCUCGGUCUCCCUCUCCCUCUCUCCGGACGCUGCUCGACCUCCAAUCGCUGAGUCGAUCGGAGAAUUCGCCGUCUGGAAGAGGUGGAUAAAUGAAGAAAAUGGACAGGAGUGGAAGAAGGCAGGAAGAAGGGCAGGUGCACAAGGUGGGAAGCAUGAUGAAGUCGCUGCCUUCGCAGACGCAGGUGUUUUUGAACGAGUGGUGGCUAGUCAAUGCUAAUGGAAAGGGUUUGGCUAUUGGAGGGUUUGCUCAUAGAGACAGUGAAAGAGUAAGCCUUUUUUGCUCUGCACCAAUUGUGAAGAGGCACGAUAUUACCACCUUUGAGACAGCAGAUGGCAUGGCAAUUAUGGUUGGUGGUCUAAUCAACCGGCUACGAACCCUGGAAAAUGGAUUUUCCACAAAGGUGUGCAACAAAUUCUUGCUUGGAUUUCCAUAUGACUGGGCAGAGUAUUCAACUUCCAGCUGUGGUGAAUACUCUAGUGUCCAAGCUGGUUCAGUUAAGGCUGCAGCUUCCAAGAAAACUGACUUCCGGUCAAGGAGCACUACAAAUUACUUUGAGGCAACUUCUCUUGAUGAUGUUACUGUGCCAAAGUUACGUGAUCUAUUUAGUCUGGGCGAUCUUGAUGAUUCUUUCUUGAUGAAGAAAAUAUAUGAUGAUGUUGUGGGCAUGUCGGGAAGUGGUGCUGAGCAUGAUGGAGAAUUUCUUCGUUCAUGCAGAAAAAGUAGUCCCAGUACAGCUGCUGAAAGCCAAACUAAUGAAGCUCAAAUCAAUGAUAAGAAAUCAAAGGAGGAUGUGUUGUGCAAACACAAAGAGGACAUCUGGUCUACAAGAAAAAUUGUGAAGAAAGUAAACCAUAAAAGUGGUCGUCAAUUGAGGGCCAGUUAUGUUUUUAGACGAAGGGAAGGUGUUUCAACUAGAAGCAUGACUAGAUUUAAGGGGCUUUAAAAUUAGUAAAGGUAUAAAUAGGCCCGUGUGCGGUUCAGAUGCAUAACUCAUAUCCAGUAUCAUGGCGCACCAAGUUGCUUGGGGCAUUCGCCUGGAUUUUGGAGCUCCCUAUAAAAGAUGGCCAAUGUCAUCUCUUCUGCUUCUGAAGAAAAAGAAUCUCUUCAAACUCCCAUAACUCCACUUUCUCCAUCAUCUGAACAGACUUGAGGUUUUCCUUUUCCUGUUGAACAAGGCGCUUUCAGUCAUGCUUUGCCUAAUAAAUAUGGGUGCAAUGGAGACCCUGGCAUUGCCUCCAGUGUUGAGGGUGUAAUUAAAAGGUUGUGCCAAGUGAAGUAAUCAUGAAACUGUAUUUUGGAAUUUGUUUCUAGGAAAUGUGAUGGGCCUGGCAAUUCUUCCAAAGCGCAGGAGUCCAUCACUUUCAGGAAGUUAUCAAGGGGAAUUUUCCGGAAGAAACCAAGGGGGUCUCUGUUUGUGAAAGUAUGGUUGAGUCAUCUUUUUUGGAUUUUGAUGGAGGUGGGGCUUCUUGGUAAAGGCAAAAAGUAUGGCUGAAUCUGUUGGAAAUCAGUUGUUUAAUGGUCUCAAAGUUGGGUCGAUAUUCUCUAAUAAUAAUGUGAUAGGAGGUGCUUCUAAUGGGGACAAAAAUCUUCUAGGAAGGGAGGCAUUGCCCAAAUCAAUGGCUCUCUUAUCUGUCCAUUAAAGAUUGAAGUUGUUGAUGAUACUGCAUCCGAUGAACUCGUGUCAUUUGCUGGAAUUGGAAAUAGGGGGGACAAGGAGAUGGGAGACACAAAAGAAGUGGCAUAUGGAAAGAAGACGAAAUGGCUUUGGACGAAACAGAAAUGUGCAAAAAUGUUUACGGAGAACUGUGACAAGUUAGUGCAUUUUUCUUAACCUAUAUAUACUUGUUGAACAAAGGGAGACAACCAAAAGGUCUUCUUGGGAAGAAGUGAAGGCCCUGAGGCUUAUUAAUACUUCAGAACAGUGAAGCUGUGCAGAGAGAUUUAUAUGGACUGGGCCUUGCUAGUCCAACCUUGCUAGUUCUAAGCAUCAGGUGCAGUCUACUUCGAGAUUUUCUCUCCUCCAUCAGUCUCUUGGGAGGAGGGCACAGGAUCCUGGUAUUCUUGAUGCAGUUGCUGGAAGUGGAAAGAGGGAAAUCACAAGAAUUUCUUUGUUCCCACACUAAAAACCAAACGGGAAACAAAUGGGUCAUCUGUCUCUUGAUUACUUCCGCAAGGUGGUAGUUGUGACGAACGAGUGUGCGGAACUACUACAAAACACAGGGCAGUGAAACAGAUACACAAGCAAACCUCAAAUCCUCUCUCAACUGGACUCGACUCGAUCUCCAUCCAACCAACUCACUCCUGCAUCUCCGCCCACCCAUCCUCUCUUCUCGGCGAUCAGAAUUGAGAACUCUCGCCCUGGCUCUUUCUCCUUGUCUCUCCACAUUCUCUCCAGCCUUGUACAUAAUAAGGGUGUUUGCUGGUCACUUUUGUUCACGUGGAAUAUGAGGAUUUUGGCUGGAUAAACAACUUAGCAGUGUGAUGAACUGGCAUGAAAAUCCACAGUGGAAACCUCAAAGCCUGCCACUGCGGAUCCUAAUCUGGAUAAGGAUGGGUUGGAUCUCCUUUAUUGAAAUGGCAACAAGAAUGAGGAUACAGCAACAUAUGGCAAUCAGAACAAGAUUAUUAUACCCUGAUAAGGUCCGCUGCAUAUCGAUAAUAUGAGUACUCUGGGAGGGGGAAGAUGAAAAAUCUGUACUUCACAUUGAUCUGGUGAGAGUAAUCAGGAUAAAGAACAGUUUACUAAUCCAAACCGUGAUGGUCGGGCUCUUGGUCCAUCGGAGGGUCUCAAUCUGUUGACAACAUUCAAUCAUCCGAAUGUCUCAUUUGACUAUAAGCCCCAAUUGAGCUUGGCAUGUGGAGGAUUCUUUUCACUGAUAUUUCAUAUGGAAAACAAGUUUUUAGCAAAAAGGUUGAAAGACAGAUCAGGAUCCCAUGAAUGCGAUAUGGAUUGAGGUCAAUAAGAGGAUAAUCUAGAUAAUGGGAGGACCUACAGACCAGUAGGACUUACAAACUGAGAAGGUAAAUAGCAGCAAAGAGCUUAUCUACAUCCCAAAAGGGCACGAGGAAGGUGACUCAUGCACUGCUUCGCAUGAGAUGGCGAUAUAAGUUAAAGUCAUUUGUUGCUGACAAGCAAAAUGAGAGACCAUCGCAGGGCCGUGACAUUCAUAGUACCAUGUCAUAAUACUUGUUAUGGGGCACAUUAGAUGUUCAGAUGCUGGAAAAGGUGGUUCAUGGAAAAGACAGGAUAGAGAAGCCUACUGUGAUCAAACAACUGAACGAUUGUAGGAUUUUGAUGACUGGAUUACUCUUCCUGAGAGCUCAACAUGGGAGCGGUGCCUGAGGAGAUUGCAGCGCAAAUAUCAUCUGAUUUAGUUAAAGCCUUUGAAAUCUGACAUUUCAGACUUGGUGAAAAGAGUGCUGGAGCCCGAUAUAUUCUUACUUGUUCUGGAUGACAUUCCUCAACUUCUAAAUCUGGAGUCAACGGGGAUUCCUGAGCCAACGCCACUGAACGGUAGAAACGGAACUUGGCAACCAAAGAACAAGUUUGAAGCAAAAUGGCAGUGGACAGGCAUUGAGACCUAAAUUUUGGCUACCAUAUUUAAUUCUUUAUCACAAGAAAAUUAGGGGUUGGUCCAGCCCCAAAACAAAAAUACCAUUAGCUUA
Molecule: RNA transcript, 3669 nt
Organism: Eucalyptus grandis
Lineage: Eukaryota; Viridiplantae; Streptophyta; Magnoliopsida; Myrtales; Myrtaceae
Exons: 10
Source: RefSeq, a predicted model, not a curated record